Molecule: ribosomal RNA, 1471 nt
Filed under: metagenome
Description: bacterial SSU rRNA
Rfam family: Bacterial small subunit ribosomal RNA
Source: RNAcentral
GAGUUUGAUCCUGGCUCAGCGCGAACGCUGGCGGCAUGGCUAAAACAUGCAAGUCGAACGCGAACGUCACUCCGGUGAUUAGUAGAGUGGCGAAAGGGCGAGUAAUGCGUUUCUAACGUGCCCCCAAGUAAGGGAUAGCAUCGAGAAAUCGUUGGUAAUACCUUAUAAUCUCCUAGCGUCGUAUGGCGUCUGGAGCAAAGAUUUAUUGCUUGGGGAGCGGGGAACGUCCUAUCAGAUUGUUGGUGGGGUAAUGGCCUACCAAGUCUAAGACGGGUAGCGGGUGUGAGAGCAUGACCCGCCGCAUCGGAACUGAGACACUGUCCGGACUCCUACGGGAGGCUGCAGUAACGAAUAUUCCACAAUGGACGAAAGUCUGAUGGAGCAAUGCCGCGUGUGGGAUGAAGCAUCUAGGUGUGUAAACCACUGUCAGGAGCUAGGAACACAAUGACCAGCUCCAAAGGAAGGGCCGGCUAACUUCGUGCCAGCAGCCGCGGUAAUACGAAGGGCCCGAGCGUUGCGCGGAAUCACUGGGCUUAAAGCGUGCGCAGGCGGAUAUGCAAGUACCUUGUGAAAUCCCAUGGCUCAACCAUGGAACUGCUUGGUAUACUGUGUAUCUUGAGGUCGGUAGGGGCCAUCGGAACGAUAGGUGGAGCGGUGAAAUGCGUAGAUAUCUAUCGGAACGCCUAAGGCGAAGGCAGAUGGCUGGGCCGAUUCUGACGCUCAUGCACGAAAGCGUGGGGAGCGAACGGGAUUAGAUACCCCGGUAGUCCACGCCCUAAACGAUGUGUACUAGAUUGCAGCUGCUCUGACGUAGUUGCGGUUGAAGCAAAAGUAUUAAGUACACCGCCUGGGGAGUACGGUCGCAAGGCUAAAACUCAAAGGAAUUGACGGGGGCUCACACAAGCGGUGGAGCAUGUGGCUUAAUUCGAAGCAACGCGAAGAACCUUAUCCUGGAUUUGACAUGCACGGAUUAUUGAUCUGAAAAGUGAUAGACACUGCUUGCAGUGGAACGUGCACAGGUGCUGCAUGGCUGUCGUCAGCUCGUGCUGUGAAGUGUCGGGUUAAGUCCCUUAACGAGCGAAACCCCUGCCGUUAGUUGCUAACACGUAAUGGUGAGGACUCUAGCGGGACUGCCGGUGUCAAACCGGAGGAAGGUGGGGAUGACGUCAAGUCCUCAUGGCCUUUAUGUCCAGGGCUGCACACGUGCUACAAUGCGGUAUACAAUGCGAAGCGAGACCGUAAGGUGGAGCAAAUCGCAAAAAGUACCGCCCAGUUCGGAUUGUGGUCUGCAACUCGACCACAUGAAGUUGGAAUCGCUAGUAAUCGCGUAUCAGCUAUGACGCGGUGAAUACGUUCCUGAGCCUUGUACGCGCCGCCCGUCAAGUCAUGGAAGCCGGUAGUGCCCGAAGUGGCCCUGUUUCAGGGGUCCCUACGGCAAGAUCGGUGACUGGGACUAAGUCGGAACAGGGUA